GCUUGCACUGAAUGAGAUUUUAACACGAAGUGAGUGGCGGACGGGUGAGUAACACGUGGGUAACCUGCCCAGAAGCAGGGGAUAACACCUGGAAACAGAUGCUAAUACCGUAUAACAGAGAAAACCGCCUGGUUUUCUUUUAAAAGAUGGCUCUGCUAUCACUUCUGGAUGGACCCGCGGCGCAUUAGCUAGUUGGUGAGGUAACGGCUCACCAAGGCGAUGAUGCGUAGCCGACCUGAGAGGGUAAUCGGCCACAUUGGGACUGAGACACGGCCCAGACUCCUACGGGAGGCAGCAGUAGGGAAUCUUCCACAAUGGACGCAAGUCUGAUGGAGCAACGCCGCGUGAGUGAAGAAGGGUUUCGGCUCGUAAAGCUCUGUUGUUAAAGAAGAACGUGGGUGAGAGUAACUGUUCACCCAGUGACGGUAUUUAACCAGAAAGCCACGGCUAACUACGUGCCAGCAGCCGCGGUAAUACGUAGGUGGCAAGCGUUAUCCGGAUUUAUUGGGCGUAAAGCGAGCGCAGGCGGUCUUUUAAGUCUAAUGUGAAAGCCUUCGGCUCAACCGAAGAAGUGCAUUGGAAACUGGGAGACUUGAGUGCAGAAGAGGACAGUGGAACUCCAUGUGUAGCGGUGAAAUGCGUAGAUAUAUGGAAGAAAACAAGUGGCGAAGGCGGCUGUCUGGUCUGUAACUGACGCUGAGGCUCGAAAGCAUGGGUAGCGAACAGGAUUAGAUACCCUGUUAGUACCCUGCUGUCAACGAUAAGAGUGAUUACUAAGUGUUGGAGGGUUUCCGCCCUUCAGUGCUGCAGCUAACGCAUUAAGUUAUCCGCCUGGGGAGUACGACCGCAAGGUUGAAACUCAAAGAAUUGACGGGGGCCGCACAAGCGUGGAGCAUGUGGUUAAUUCGAAGUACGCGAAGAACUUACCAGGUCUUGACAUCUUUGCCAACCUAAGAGAUUAGGCGUUCCCUUUCGGGGACAGAAUGACAGGUGGUGCAUGGUUGUCGUCAGCUCGUGUCGUGAGAUGUUGGGUUAAGUCCCGCAACGAGCGCAACCCUUAUUACUAGUUGCCAGCAUUCAGUUGGGCACUCUAGUGAGACUGCCGGUGACAAACCGGAGGAAGGUGGGGACGACGUCAAAUCAUCAUGCCCCUUAUGACCUGGGCUACACACGUGCUACAAUGGAUGGUACAACGAGUUGCGAAACCGCGAGGUUUAGCUAAUCUCUUAAAACCAUUCUCAGUUCGGACUGUAGGCUGCAACUCGCCUACACGAAGUCGGAAUCGCUAGUAAUCGCGGAUCAGCAUGCCGCGGUGAAUACGUUCCCGGGCCUUGUACACACCGCCCGUCACACCAUGAGAGUUUGU
This 1366-nucleotide ribosomal RNA is filed under the name Pediococcus acidilactici. Its description in RNAcentral is "bacterial SSU rRNA". It matches the Rfam family "Bacterial small subunit ribosomal RNA", at positions 61 to 1415 of the family's 1533-position model. The record is from RNAcentral. Lineage: Bacteria; Bacillati; Bacillota; Bacilli; Lactobacillales; Lactobacillaceae.